Molecule: long non-coding RNA, 1898 nt
Filed under: Oncorhynchus mykiss (rainbow trout)
Lineage: Eukaryota; Metazoa; Chordata; Actinopteri; Salmoniformes; Salmonidae
Description: lncRNA (ENSOMYG00000061335.1)
Source: RNAcentral
AUGGAAAUAUAUAUGAGAGAAAAUGGAAGAGAAGAGUAUGUUGUGGCAAGAUACCUUCUUGACCAUUUCAGUCACAGUGAUUUCAGGAUUACUUCUCACAGACAACUUCUGCUGGGCCAUAGGAGGCCACUUCUGAACUGUGUCUGGAGUUCUCUGGAGAACUCAAGUCAAUGUAUAUUUCCCACCAUAGGACUCUCAGAGAAGAGAGGUGGAGAGCCAUGGUGGAUGUCCUACGCUCUCCAGCGGGCCAAGAGGAUGAAGUCAGUGGAGGAAGAACCCUGGAUGUUGCCUGUCUAUCCAUUUGGAUAAGAGUCAAGACACAUUUAGGCUGUGAAGUUGUGCAACUUGUAAUGAAUCAUUAAUAAUGCCUUGCAUCCUUUUCACUUUCACUCUGACAGUGUCACACACAAGUCUUAAAUUCGGCCUUGUGUUUUGCGCCAUCAUAUGACAUGCCUGGAUUUGAACCUUCAUUUAAAGCUUUUUGAUCAAACUGUCCUCUCUUUCGUUUUAUGUCAGAUUGUCCAGCACUCAGACAAUUGCAUCAAUUAUUUUUAUGUAAGGCUAAAAAUGCAGCAUUAUAAUCAGGCAUCAUGUCAUGACAAAACACAGGGCCCUACUUAUAAAAAAAAUAUAUAUAUAUAUAUUUUUUUGCAAUGCAUUUGUGUUUGGUUAAUGUAGUCAAUACAAGGUUUGACAUAAAUCCCUAAGUGAGUACAAAUAAUAAAGUAUGUUGGGGCAAAAACGUAUGUACUUAUUGAACAAAAGAAACGUUCAUGAAGUCUGCUCAUCCAUUUGAGGAUAUGCAUUGAGUGCUAAAUCAUACCAGACUCCGAGACACAAAACUCCACAGGCAAAUACAAAAAGGCCCUUACCUUUGCCAUCACAGAUGUACAACUACACUCCUGUCUGAACUUCCCUGGAUAUGUGUCUUGUCACAAAGCACAGUUUCUCUCACACACUUCCUCUCUCCACUCACAAUAAAAUAUCAUUAUUAUUUUGUGUGCUUGGAUCUACAUUUCGGAGGGUAUCAAACUUCCUACUUCACUAACUUGAGCCACAACAUGAUCAUGCCCAGGGCCGGUCCUGGACGUGCUGCCGCCCAAGGCGAGACAAUUAUUUUCUCAGCUAAAAGUCAGAAGGAACAGAAGAGUAGCUCAAUGAAUAGGCCUAUGCUACAAAUUAAACGCAAUUUUUAAUACAUCUCGUUAAUAGGCUAUAUAACCAGUUCAAUGUCAAUAAUAUAGUUAAAAUCACUAAUGCCCCGGAAGCUCUGCCACCCGAGGUGAGACAAAAAAAAUUACAGGAGUAUUUUAUGUUUUUUUGUCUGGGAGUCGGAUUUAGCAGUAGUACCACAACUGUCAUCGGGGACGGGGAGCGAAGAAUCUGAAUCUGGGUCCAAGAUAGGGUCUUGGCGGCAUUGUUUGGAGGUGUGGCUUGGCCUGGUGCGAGCACCUGUUCUUGUCCAGCCCAGAGAGCUGUCAUCAUCGGUGGAAGUGCAUGGCUUGGGACUCCACCGGUUUGCCCUCUUUGCUGCUAGAAUCAGCGAACCGGGGCUCGUCGUCCUCGUAGGCUUGUCAUUCUCCACACCGACUGAUGGACAUUGCUGCAUGCUGAUACAAUGCACCAGCACAUUUCUUUGGUUCAGAGAUUGUGCCUCUUUUCUCAUAGUUGUCGGUUAGACGUGGUAGCAAAUUGUUUCAACUCUCUAUAGAUUACGUUUAGCUAAAAUUAUAUCCACUGUUAGCUACAUGGUAGGCUACUGCCUUAAAUCACUAAUCGUGUCACACACAAAUAUAUUUUAAAACAAACAUUUAAUUGGCAGAUUCAUUUUUAUAAUUUUUUCACAAUUGGAUAAUCCCAUAAACACAUCACCACCAAGGAUAGUGGGAUUCGGGAGA